This is an RNA transcript of Manihot esculenta (cassava), 3136 nucleotides long. It is a transcript of the gene named protein NEDD1, with no coding region annotated. Lineage: Eukaryota; Viridiplantae; Streptophyta; Magnoliopsida; Malpighiales; Euphorbiaceae. The transcript has 12 exons. The record is from RefSeq and is a predicted model, not a curated record.
CCAGUUAAAAAAAUAUCUUUUUUUUAAACUACAGAAAAAGCAACCAAUGGCGCCUCUUUAAUACCUUUCAAAACUUUUAACACCCAUUCCAUUAUCCCCUUCUCUCAGUAAGUUCGUAUCAGUUACUAGGAAUUUAAUUUUCCGGGAAAAUUCGGGAGCUCGAUUUUUCUUUGGAUAAGAAAAUUGGACACUGGAGAUUAUAAAUGAUGAACUUGGCGGAUCCAUCAAUGUGGAUGCUGGCUGCCAGCGGAGGCGAUACGGUGAAGCUUUUUGAUGUAUCGAGGGAGCCGGGAGAUCCCUGCAUCUCGAGCUACACUCCAUCUCCAGGUUGCCUGGUCAACACAGUCAAGUGGAACCACACUAAUUUGGUUGUGGCUAGUGCUGGAGAAGAUAAGAAGAUAUCUCUCUGGAGGAAAAAUGGGCAGAGCAUGGGGACUAUUCCGGUUGCUGGGACAGAUACCGGAGACAACAUUGAGGAAUCAAUAUUGGCUAUUAGCUUUAGUAACAAGGGAUCCAGAUACAUGUGCUCUGGGGGAAGUGGUCAAGUUGUAAGAAUAUGGGAUCUACAGAGGAAACGCUGUAUUAAAUGGUUGAGGGGUCACACCAGUACAAUAACUGGUGCUCUAUACAAUUGCAAAGAUGAGCAUUUGGCUUCCAUUAGUCUAAGUGGGGAUCUUAUCCUUCACAAUCUUGCAACUGGCGCAAGGGCAGCAGAACUCAAGGAUCCUAAUGAACAGGUAUUGCGGGUGCUAGACUAUUCACGGAUUAGUCGGCACAUUUUGGUGACUGCAGGUGAUGAUGGGUCAGUACAUUUGUGGGAUACUACUGGUCGCAGCCCAAAGAUUUCUUGGUUGAAGCAACAUUCUGCCCCGACUGCUGGUAUUAGCUUCUCACCUUCAAAUGACAAGAUAAUAGCUAGCAUUGGACUGGAUAAAAAGUUAUACACUUAUGACUUGGAGUCUCGGAGACCCUCAUCUUAUAUAUCCUACGAGGCACCUUUCUCUUCAUUGGCAUUCAGAGAUGAUGGCUUGACUUUGGCAGCUGGAACUAGCAGUGGUCGAGUAGUGUUCUAUGAUGUUCGUGGAAGACCACAGCCUUUCACUGUUCUUCGUGCUUAUGGCAGUUCAGAGGCUGUUACAAGUUUGUGCUGGCAAAGAUCAAAACCAGUUGUUGUAAAUGAGAGCACCUGCACUGCUGAGACAGCUCUUCUCGGAAGUGCUGUUGAAGAUUCCAUUCUUAUGCCUGACCCCCUUCCCACUGUGACAGCAUCCAGUGUUUCACUAUCUACAGGAGUGUCAAAUUCUCAUAAUCUUGGCCGUUCUGGUCUUUCUGUAGAAGCAUCGUCUCUUGCUUCAACUAGCAGUGGAUCUGCUUCAAGUAUGCCGUCCUUUGCAGAGGAAACUCCACAUAGGAGCCAUCUGUGGCCUAGUGGAACAUUGACAAGCUUACAUGCUCCUCGUACAAGUUAUAAUUUUAAGGAUGACAUGGAAGUUUUUUCCCCACUUGUUGAUGUCCAUCCUAUCACAUCGGCACUUAAUAAGCUCUGGGAUGAUCACGAGGGUACAAGAAAGGGAAAUCUAUCAAUUGAUAAGAAGCCCUCAUCUUUGUUAUUUCCUUCUGCUGGUAGUAGAUUUCCUUUUGCAGAUGAUGUGACAAAUGAUCAUCCUAUAUUCGAUUGGAAAACUAGUUCAACUUUCAAACAGGAGGAGACCAGAUCUUCUUUUUCACCAUUGGAAUCUACUCCUACUCCAUCUUCAAAAAGUGAAGAAUCCUCCAUCACUCCUCCAGAAGCUUGGGGUGGAGAGAGAUUAUCUGAGAAACUUACCCACUUGCACCAGUCACUCAGUCUACCUUCUCAGUUUGGGAUGUUGACUUCUGGGGGUUUUCCAGAUCUACCAUCUACAAGUCAGAUAAUUAUGAGCUCUUUGACAAAUUCAAACAUGAGUUUUUCAAGUCUGCACCCCAGAGAUGUUUCUUCAAAGCAGGAAAAUUCAACAGGAUUUUCAGAACUCGUUUCCUCUAGUUCCAUGUCUCAGUCUUUGAGUACAAGAAGCAUCAUGGGACAAACUACCCUUGAUGUGCCAGGAUCAGGCUCUUUGACCCUUCCUCGUAGAUUUUCAACUUAUGCUGAGAGAAUAAGCACAGCUUCUUCCUUCAGUAAUGAGAUCUCCCUUUUAGUGAGUUCUCCUAAAACAAAGAAAACAGGAGCUGAAACCAGGGAAGAGCUUUUGAGUAGCUUGUUGUCAAGGUCUGACACGUUGUCUGUGACAGAACAAGGAAUUCUUCCAGCAGUAAAUGGAGGAACCUCACAACCAAAUAAGGCCCUUCAGCUGGAUCAGCAGCAAGGAAAUUCCUUCACACUCCAACUUUUUCAACGGACUCUUGAAGGAACUCUUGAUUCAUUUCAGAAAUCCAUCCAUGAGGACAUGAGGAACCUUCACAUUGAAAUUCUAAGACAAUUUCACAUGCAGGAGAUGGAAUUUUCCAGUGUGAUGAGCUCAAUUGCAAAAAAUCAGGCAGAGCUGAUAAAAGAAAUUAAGUCUCUUCAGAAAGAAAACCAAGAUCUUCGCCAAUUACUUUGAUUAAUAGUGAAGACUGCAUAUUUGUGACCGUCAGUGGAUUUUGGAUUCUGUUGUUCAUUUGCAUGGUUUUGCACUUGAUUGGUGCCCUUCUGUUUUUCAAUUCGAAUGUGGAGAAACUGAACGAAUUCGGAUGUGGAAAAUUUCAGUGGAAAAGACACCUCAAAACCACGAGUAGGAACGGUAGGAUUAAAGAAUUUGGAUCAGAGAAAGCUUUUUCAAUAACAGGAUUGAAGAAAUACAUCUCUGUUUAAAUACAAGUACAAAGAAGCUUAACAAGCUGCUUUUCGUGAAAGUCCAGGUUGACAAAGUAAAGGAACUAGUUAAUCUAAUCAGCAAAUCAUGCUAUUAACAAGAAGCUAAGAACAAUCUUCCUGCCAAUACACCAACAAGGAUGAAAAUCUUAAGCCUUCUGUGGAUAGAGCAGGAUCUCUGCAGAAAGCAAUAGAAGUCUUGACCUGCAGAAAUCUUAACCAUCUCAACUUCUUCUCUUGUUUCAAAUAUUACACCCAAGUUUCUAAGGUUAGUGAGUUUAAGCACUACAGCUCUUCUAAUUA